This 80-nucleotide transfer RNA is filed under the name Neurospora crassa. RNAcentral describes it as "tRNA-Leu (CAG) (tRNA-Leu-CAG-3 1 to 3)". It matches the Rfam family "tRNA". Rfam says of the family: Transfer RNA (tRNA) molecules are approximately 80 nucleotides in length. Their secondary structure includes four short double-helical elements and three loops (D, anti-codon, and T loops). Further hydrogen bonds mediate the characteristic L-shaped molecular structure. tRNAs have two regions of fundamental functional importance: the anti-codon, which is responsible for specific mRNA codon recognition, and the 3' end, to which the tRNAs corresponding amino acid is attached (by aminoacyl-tRNA synthetases). tRNAs cope with the degeneracy of the genetic code in two manners: having more than one tRNA (with a specific anti-codon) for a particular amino acid; and 'wobble' base-pairing, i.e. permitting non-standard base-pairing at the 3rd anti-codon position. Lineage: Eukaryota; Fungi; Ascomycota; Sordariomycetes; Sordariales; Sordariaceae. RNAcentral also lists the same sequence under 9 other names. The record is from RNAcentral.
GGCAAGAUGGCCGAGCGGUCUAAGGCGCUGUGUUCAGGUCGCAGUCCGAAAGGGCGUGGGUUCGAAUCCCACUCUUGUCA